This 465-nucleotide ribosomal RNA is filed under the name uncultured bacterium. RNAcentral's name for it is "partial 16S ribosomal RNA". It matches the Rfam family "Bacterial small subunit ribosomal RNA", at positions 338 to 795 of the family's 1533-position model. The record is from RNAcentral.
CCUACGUGAGGCAGCAGUGGUGAAUCUUGCGCAAUGGGCGAAAGCCUGACGCAGCGACGCCGCGUGAGGGAUGAAGGUCUUCGGAUCGUAAACCUCUGUCAGCAGGGAAGAACGGUCACUGUGCUAAUCAGCAGUGAAUUGACGGUACCUGCAAAGGAAGCACCGGCUAACUCCGUGCCAGCAGCCGCGGUAAUACGGAGGGUGCGAGCGUUAAUCGGAAUUACUGGGCGUAAAGAGCUCGUAGGCGGUAUGUCAAGUCAAGGGUGAAAUCCCCGCGCUCAACGUGGGAACUGCCUUUGAAACUGGCAAACUGGAGUGUGUGAGAGGAUAGUGGAAGUCCAGGUGUAGGAGUGAAAUCCGUAGAUAUCUGGAGGAACAUCAGUGGCGAAGGCGACUAUCUGGCACAUAACUGACGCUGAGGAGCGAAAGCGUGGGUAGCAAACAGGAUUAGAUACCCCAGUAGUC